This 5969-nucleotide long non-coding RNA is filed under the name Sus scrofa (pig). Its description in RNAcentral is "lncRNA (ENSSSCG00000057330.1)". Lineage: Eukaryota; Metazoa; Chordata; Mammalia; Artiodactyla; Suidae. The record is from RNAcentral.
CAGGAGCCUUGAGAGGUGGAGGGGACCACAGUGGGAUUUUUCAGGCCCUGAUCCCCUCCCUGCUGGCUGUCUGCAUCCCACCAUCUAAGGUGACAUUUCCUGCCAAGCUGCCUCCUCCCUAUGGUCACAUGGUCCUGUGGCCACCCCCCAACCCUUGCCCUACCUGUUCAGGCUUAGCAUGGUAAUGGCUCUCUUCUGUUUCUGACCUCAGGGUACUACACUAUUGUCAUGGAAGUUCCUUGCAUCUCAUCACCCCUUGGUAAAGAGGCUGUUUACUAAACUCUCUUCCAUCAUCUGGCUCAGUGUACCAUCUGUGUUUUCCCAGAACCUCAAGUGAUGCAGUGAAUAAGCAAACAAGAUUGUCAGUGAACCAUCUUUGUAGGCAAAACUAUGGAAACAUAUUCACAUCCUCCUAAGAGGAUGACAGAUGGUAACCAUGUGAGACUUGACUCUCUUAUCCUCACUUCCUUCUUGUUUGCUACUCCUCUAGAACAGGAAUGAGGUCAGAUAUUUUGCAGAGCUGCAUAUUUGGCCCAGGAGAUCAUCAAGUAGCAACUCCCAACACCGUGAAGCUAGGAUUCCCCACCAAGGGAGGAAGGAAUGACAAACAGCACUAGCUGCAACCAGUCAUACCUAGUUGGUGCCUUCAAGGACCUCACCUCAGGAGUUCUCACUGUAGCACAACAGGAUCAGUGGAGAGCCCUGGGAUGCGGGUUUGAUCUCCAGCCUGUACAGUGGGUUAAGGAUCGGCAUUGCCACAGCACUUAAGUUGCAGCUACUGGUCAGAUGUGAUCCCUGACCCAUGGGGCAGCCAAAAAAGUUUUUUUUAAAAAAAAAAAAGGACCUUGGCUCAGUACCAGUCCUGUCAAUCUUCAAGGUCUUACCAUCUCCAGGGAGGGAGGCCUCUGACCACAGCUCUACCUCACAAAAAGGCCAACAGCCCCUGAGCCUACUUAUCUGCUGGCUCUGACAGAUGGAUCCCAGAACUCACCAGACCAAAUGAUUUUAUUUCCCUCAACACAUCCAUGUGCAUGAAGGCAGUCAAUGAAUUAAUUGUAUUAGGAAACCUACUAAGCCGAGGACAAUUGCUUCAAAAGAAGAACCAAAAAGGUGCUGAAAGACAGAAGGCAAACGAACCUCAGAGGCAUCUUUAGAAAUGGACAAUUAUGAUCCAUUAAGCCUAGUUAAGGGACUGAAAUUUAUGAGGAGGAAACAUCUGGAACUGCCUGGAAUGCAAAGGAACCAGAAGGAACCACUGUUUGGGCUUGUAGAGAGCAGCCCAGACAAAUGGGAUUCUGUGUUAGGAGAGAAUUGCAAAAUCAGAACAUGAAAAGGACAGAAUGGAGGCAACGCAUCUGGGGUUAAGUGAAGCAUUUUAAUACAGUGGCUCCUGGAUUUGCUCUUGAAAUAUUAAUUGAAAUUGGGAUGAAUAUGAGGGCUGUCACAUGAAUAGAAAACUGGCAGGAAGAUCAUAAAUACUGGCUAAGCUGAGCCAAGUCAACAGAACACAGCAAUGCAACAGAAAGUAAUGAAGACACUGCUGAAUUCAUAGCCAUGAACCCUGCAGAUGCUUAAUAAAUAUUAAUUGAUAAUAAUGAACUAUAGUACAGGGUGGUAAAUUAGUGCGAGACAGUUAAGCUGCUGAAAAACAGCUAAUAUAUAUAUGGUUGGUAUAACAUACAAUGAUGAAUGAACAAGGAGAAAGGAAAAUAAAACUGAUUUAUUGGUGAGGUGCAUUUUGCCUGGCAACAGGACAUAUGGGAAAGAGAAUAUUAAUAGAAGGGUGGGGAGGGGUGGCUUGAGGGGAUGAGAGGAAAGUUGAGACAAUAAUUCAGGAUCACAAUAGAGCUUUCCUAGCGUCUUGGCAAUUCCUUAAGUAUAAGCCAGGCACCUUGGAGUCAUAUCCUGUUCCUUUAAAACACUGUGGCAUUCUCAAUAAAUUUUUGCUCCCAGGAACCCAGAGACACCAUAGAUUAAUCUGGACCAAUUUCCCAGAAGGGGAUAUGAAAGCUCUCCUCCUAGGGAAGCCAGCUCUGAUCCACACAGCCAGAGUACAACAUUUUCUUUUUAAAUCUCAUCACUCUUGUUGCUUGUGUCACUGCUUAUCUCCUAGAAUUACUAUGAUUUUUGUAUAUGUGAUUAUAUUUUUUAAGCUUUGUAAAGUAGAAAUAAUGCCUUGCAUUUUCCAGCACUCACCUCACUAGGUGCUUCAAAGCUGGGAGGUGCUCAGUUCCUGUGCUGAUCAAUUAGUAAUUCUAGAAAGCAAAGUAAGCCCCUAUCAGAGAGGACACUCAGCUACCUUUUGGGUUUGAGGACCUGCUUCUAAGGAGAUCAAUGAAAGCUCUACCUCUUGUUAUGGACAAAGCACUAGAGAGUCUGCCACAGGAAUGAUCUUAGGCUGCUGGAGGAUGAGGCAGAAAACUCAGUUGCUAUGGAAACUUGUAUGAUCUGAUGACUCCCAUUGUUCAAAGAUAGUCAGACACCAGGAGAAUGACAAGCAGAUCUCUAAGCCUCAAGCAAACACAGGACAUGCCGAGGAAACAUCUCAAUUUAUUUGUACUUAUUUCUGCUGUAAAGGUAGCAUCAUUUCAUCAUCUAUCAUAACACAACAUUUGCAAAGGCCUUUCAAAAUAUUUCCAGUUGCUAUUUUGAUUUAGUGAUCUCAGAGAUGCUUCCUAUGCACAGAGCUACCUUCAAGACAGGCAGACAGCACUGACAGCAGCCACUGAGCAUAGAUGAUGGAGGCAGAUGCUGCUGAGACUCUGCUCUGUGACCUGGACAAGUGAAACCAUCUGUGUGAAGGUGCCAUAUGGGCUGGACUUGCUAAACUAAUGGCAGAUGAAGCUACCAAACCAUUCCUGAGUCAUAUACCUUUGAGGAUCUGAUUACACCUGUGGACUUGCUCACCGGAAAAGUAUACGUAUACAUAUACAUAUACUUAUACAUAUACAUAUACAAUCUAAUGCAAUAUAUUUCAGAGAAUAUAAACCUCUGCUAUCUUUUCAUAAAUUUGCCCUACCUGGGGAUUCAAGAGGUCCAGAUAUCAUGUUAAGAAUCUCUGACAUAUAAUAAAAAUACUUUACAGACAUAUUAGACUCAAUCUUGGACAAAACAGAAAAACACUGGCAUCAUUUACCCACUCAACCUUCCUAACCAGUGCCCAGUGCCUUCUCAGGUAGUUCCAUCUUCCCUCAUAUAUCCAGCAUCUCCUGCCAGUGGGGACUUGCCUGUGAACAGCUAUCCACUUGGUACACUCACUCACUAGUUCAUUCAUUUCACGGAGUGUAUUCUAUGUGUCAGACUUUAGGGAUGCGAAUAUGAGCAUGACAAGGCUCAUGUCCUCAAGGAGCUUACAGUUCAGCUUAGUCAGGAAACAUUCAGCCACGUCUGGGUACAGGUUUGGUCAUCAUAGCUGAAGGAGAAAUACUAUUGGCAUCCAGUAGGUGGAGGCUGGGGAUGCUGCUAAACAUCCUACAAUGCACAGGACAGCCUUCACAACAAAGACAUACAAGGUCCAAAAUGUCAGUAGUUUUUCAGCUUAGGAUCUAGAGGCAUUUUAAUAAGAACUCUAGAAGAUACAAUUGCACUGGCAGUCUGGCCUGAUUUUCAAUAAUCAGAAAGGAAAGAAAGGGAGAGAAGACUCACUCGGGGGCACCAUCACCAAUGUGAAAGCAGACCCUCUUUUGGGCGACAUCAGAGAAAGGAUCGCCAGUUGCAAGGGGUGAGCAAACAAAUGACUUAUUUUGGGAAUCUCCUUAUGGGAAAUGAUGCUAGCUCCCUACCCACCUCCAUCAGCCAGUAGCCCCGUCAAAAUAAGCUACAGCAUGGGUAGGAUCAUUACUCAAAAGACAAACCCUUUUGCAUCCUGUGGGACAGCUAUAUUUUGGACAAGCCCUUUCCCUCACCAGUUCUUCUCUACUCUACUCUCAUUCUUAUCAAUAAUUCUACCUUGUACACACUCACACCACAAUCAGUUCUCAUAUGGCUAAAAAUAUUAAAUUACAGAAAAUAUUAUAUAUGUAUAUAUCACAUUAUAUAUAAAACAUAUAACAUAACAUAUAUUUUUAUUUGAGAUAUAUAUACACACACAUACACACACAUACACACACACACACACACACACACACACACACACAUUACAAAUUUUAACCUCUAUAGAAAUUGGUUCUAAGACUGGUUAAUCUGAAAAAGCAUGAGACCAGAAAUUAGACCAAGUUUCAACAUGUGCAUUUUUUAUUCCUUACAACCCCCACCACCACCACCACCUCUGCCCCUUUAACAAUUCUUUUGCUGAAACCAGGCCAGGCCUCUGCCAUCAGGUGGCAGAGAUAUGGCAGAUGUGCUAAAGUGCAUGUAAACCUCUAGCCCUGUUCAGGCUGGGAUUGAUAAAGGUUGGGAAGCAUCAUGCAAGGAGCUCCCAUCACUGGCAGGAAAAAAAAAAAAAAAAGGUUUUCUGAUUUUAAGCUGUAUAGCACAGAUAGUCUACAGGUAGCCAGACCUGAGUUGAAAUCCCAACUCUGUCACUCACUCUAUUUCCCUUUGCAGUCCUAUAGCCUUGGGGAAGCUGAUGAGCUCAUUAAACUUCAGAUUUCUCAUUUGUAAAUUAGGAAUAAUUAGAGUUCCUACCUUAAAGGGUCAUCAUGGGUAUUAAAUGACAGUUUCCAUCUAAAGCAUUGAGCAGAGCGUCUGGCACAUAGUAAGCCUCGGUAAAUUGCUACUACAAUUACUAAGGGAAGGAAACCAUCCUGGUUGAGACUCGAUACAUGAUUCUCGGCCUGAACAAGCCGAGACAGCUGCUCAGGUGGCUCCCACAUUGCUACUACUGACACACUCUAGGCCCACCAUUGCACAUAGUCUACAUCUGCUCCUCUGUCCUGUCCUCCAUUCAGACUCUGUUCUCAAAGACAGCAUUGCUCAAAUCUUUAACUUCCCAGCACCGUUCCUAUUGGCGUUUGAUAUCUUUCUGUUUGUCUGCAGCUCCUUGACAACCUCAGCAACCCAUCUGACCAAGCCUCCCCUGUCUUCCCCCCAAAUCUAUCCAUAGUCCCCAUAGUCUGUGCUGCUGGAGGGCAGCUGGACAAAGCAUUUCUCCAGCAUUCUCUUGAGCUGCCAUGAUGGGCUCAGGUAGGCUGGUGGGAAGAAACAGUGGUUAAAUAUCCAUAUAAGAACCUGACACUUCUCAGACCCUACCAUUGCCCACUUUCAAGGGGAACAGUCAAAGAUUCAGUAUUCUGCCUUAGAAAGGUUACUGACCCAGAUCAAAAGCUGGUCAGUUCUCCACUGUUGCUUUUUCCUUAAAAAAUGCCUUGGCUGGAUCCUCAGAUAUCAACCCCACCUUCCAACACCUGGCUCUACUGCAAGGUGUAUUCUUCUCAAGAAAUCUACGAGUUGGUUAAGAGAGCUGUUCUUAUAGGGGGAAUGAAUUCAGCGAUUGGGGAAUAAAAAAUUCCCUCUCCUUCCUCGACCCUCUUCCCCUUGAUGUUCACUUGGGAAAUCUCAAACCAUCUUGACACCAAGGAACAAAGAUCAGACUUUCCAGAGGGCAACUUAGCCUUUACCCAGAGGCACGGAGUGAACCAUACUUUACCCGUGCUUCCAUUAGUAGAAGGGUCAAGAGUAGCUGGGAUUGGAGUAGCUAGAAACCUUCUUAAACACCCUGGUAGUUUCUGCACAGCACUCCCCUGGUGAGAGUUAGUCUAACUCUAACACCAAGAAAGUAGAGAAAGCUACAGAAAUGCCUGAAGUAUUACAAGAGGCAGAUUUUCUUCCUGAGCAUUCAUAAUUUAAUGGCUACACUAAGCAACACUAAGCCCCUAUUUUGUGUUUAGAAAACAUCUCAGCAAGUUUGAAGCUAAAACAUUCUCCUUUGCUCAACUUCUUGCCCCUUGAGUACCCGAAUCUUUGCAUAACAGCCUCAAACCCCCCUCUCUGCCUGCCUCAGUGUCCUGAGAGUAAACACAAGUCACUAC